This 253-nucleotide ribosomal RNA is filed under the name uncultured bacterium. Its description in RNAcentral is "partial 16S ribosomal RNA". It matches the Rfam family "Bacterial small subunit ribosomal RNA", at positions 524 to 776 of the family's 1533-position model. The record is from RNAcentral.
UACGAAGGGGGCUAGCGUUGCUCGGAAUCACUGGGGGUAAAGGGUGCGUAGGCGGGCUUUUAAGCCAGGGGUGAAAUCCUGGAGCUCAACUCCAGAACUGCCUUUGAUACUGAAGAUCUUGAGUUCGGGAGAGGUGAGUGGAACUGCGAGUGUAGAGGUGAAAUUCGUAGAUAUUCGCAAGAACACCAGUGGCGAAGGCGGCUCACUGGCCCGAUACUGACGCUGAGGCACGAAAGCGUGGGGAGCAAACAGG